AAAGCCGUUAAACUCUGUAAAUGAAAAAACCUUGAAACAAAAAAACUUUUUAACUGACUGUCCUUAGAGCAAGUGGUAAAAGACUUGAUGGUUGGUAUUCGAGAUUCCAAGUUCGAAUCCUAAUUGAUUCACAUUUCUAGCUAAGUUUAUUUUUAAAUGAAAUAAACGAAACGGGUAGCGUGCUACCUGUCUCUCAAAAAAAAAAAAAAAAAGUUUGUUUUAAAAAAGAAAAUUAAAUUUUUAUAGGAGUUUUAUUAAUUUGAUAUGACUUGGUUUAGUAAAUCUAGUUUCACCUACGAAAGAUAAAGACGUUUUAUUUUUUUUAAUUUUUUAUUUAGUUACUACAAUCCUAGAAUCAUAAUUUAUUUAUAAAAAAUUAAAACUAAAAAUAGUGAGCAAUUAUUUUACUUGUACAAUAUCAUAAUAAGUUAUAAUAUUAUAAUAAGUUAUAACAGUACAAGAAUUAUUUUUUAAAAAAAUUAUGUGGAUAGUUUGGUGACGAUGCGGACGUUGAAAGUUUGGUCUUACGUCACUUCAAAUAUGACUUGGCCCAAUCCGACCUCACGUCAUUUCGAACGUGAUUCGACCCACUUGGUCUCCCUCCACAGGGUAGGAUGUUCGCCCAUUUAAGCCACCAUUUAAAUAAACAAUUUCCUCCUCGGUAUCUGCAUAUACUUGCAGCAUGCGGAAAUCGAACCCGCUAACCAUUAAUCCCAAAAGCUCAGUCGUUAGAAAUACACAACCAAUUCACUUAAAGUGUAUAGAUACAACGCCCGCGGAUUUCGAUUGUGACUCGGUCUAUUCAGCCUUAUGCUCGAACAUGACUCGGUCCAACUCACUCUCACGCAAUUUUGAACAUGACUCGGCCCACUUGGCCUCCCGCCACAUGGCAUAAUGUUGGCCCAUUUAAGCCAACGGCGUUAAAUUUAAAGUAUUAAAUUUGAUACUAAAUUUUAUUAUUAAAUUUUAUAAAAUUAAAAUAAUAAUUAGAUUGGAUAAAAUUUUUAA
Molecule: long non-coding RNA, 1008 nt
Filed under: Ananas comosus (pineapple)
Lineage: Eukaryota; Viridiplantae; Streptophyta; Magnoliopsida; Poales; Bromeliaceae
Description: long non-coding RNA (ACOM_LNC015488)
Source: RNAcentral